RNAcentral lists this ribosomal RNA (807 nucleotides) under uncultured organism. Its description in RNAcentral is "bacterial SSU rRNA". It matches the Rfam family "Bacterial small subunit ribosomal RNA", at positions 13 to 799 of the family's 1533-position model. The record is from RNAcentral.
UUGAUCCUGGCUCAGAACGAAGCUGGCGGCAUGGCUAAAACAUGCAAGUCGCGCGCGAAAGGCCCCUUCGGGGGCCAAGUAGAGCGGCGGAAGGGUGAGGAAUACAUGGGUAACGUACCCCAGGCACAGGGAUAGCCGUGGGAAACCGCGGGUAAUACCUGAUGAGACCACAGUGUCAUAAGGCACAGCGGUCAAAGGGUGGGGACCUUCGGGCCUAUCGGCCUGGGAGCGGCCCAUGUCCUAUCAGCUUGUUGGUGAGGUAAAGGCUCACCAAGGCUACGACGGGUACCGGGACUGAGAGGUCGGCCCGGCACAUUGGGACUGAGACACUGCCCAGACUCCUACGGGAGGCUGCAGUAACGAAUAUUCCGCAACGGGCGAAAGCCUGACGGAGCAAUGCCGCGUGUGGGAUGAAGCUCUUCGGAGUGUAAACCACUGUCAGGAGUCAGCACGCGACGGGAGCUAAUAUCUCCCGAAGCAGAGCAGCUCCGGAGGAAGCCACGGCUAACUUCGUGCCAGCAGCCGCGGUAAUACGAAGGUGGCGAGCGUUGUUCGGAAUCACUGGGCUUAAAGCGCACGCAGGCGGAUGGUCAAGCGUCUUGUGAAAGCCCCCGGCUCAACCGGGGAAUUGCUGGGCGAACUGAUCGUCUUGAGGCAGGUAGGGGCGAGUGGAACUCUUGGUGGAGCGGUGGAAUGCGUAGAUAUCACGAGGAACGCCGGAGGCGAAGGCGACUCGCUGGGCCUGUCCUGACGCUGAGGUGCGAAAGCCCGGGGAGCAAACGGGAUUAGAUACCCCGGUAGUCCUGG